This 446-nucleotide ribosomal RNA is filed under the name uncultured bacterium. RNAcentral describes it as "bacterial SSU rRNA". It matches the Rfam family "Bacterial small subunit ribosomal RNA", at positions 25 to 507 of the family's 1533-position model. The record is from RNAcentral.
CAGAACGAACGCUGGCGGCAUGCCUAACACAUGCAAGUCGAACGGGAUCCGAGCUUCGGUUCGGUGAGAGUGGCGGACGGGUGAGUAACGCGUGGGAACCUGCCCAGUGGUGGGGGAUAACUGCGGGAAACUGCAGCUAAUACCGCAUGAGCCCGAGAGGGGAAAGAUUUAUCGCCAUUGGAGGGGCCCGCGUUCGAUUAGGUAGUUGGUGAGGUAACGGCUCACCAAGCCUUCGAUCGAUAGCUGGUCUGAGAGGAUGAUCAGCCACACUGGGACUGAGAUACGGCCCAGACUCCUACGGGAGGCAGCAGUGGGGAAUAUUGGACAAUGGGGGCAACCCUGAUCCAGCAAUGCCGCGUGAGUGAUGAAGGCCUUCGGGUUGUAAAGCUCGUUUGCCAGGGACGAUGAUGACGGUACCUGGAGAAUAAGCCCCGGCUAACUUCGUG